RNAcentral lists this transfer RNA (73 nucleotides) under Chloroflexota bacterium. RNAcentral's name for it is "Chloroflexi bacterium (hot springs metagenome) tRNA-Lys". It matches the Rfam family "tRNA". Rfam says of the family: Transfer RNA (tRNA) molecules are approximately 80 nucleotides in length. Their secondary structure includes four short double-helical elements and three loops (D, anti-codon, and T loops). RNAcentral also lists the same sequence under 1 other name. Lineage: Bacteria; Bacillati; Chloroflexota. The record is from RNAcentral.
GGGCCGCUAGCUCAACCGGUAGAGCAGGUGACUCUUAAUCACCCGGUUAGAGGUUCGAGUCCUCUGCGGCUCA